RNAcentral lists this ribosomal RNA (404 nucleotides) under uncultured bacterium. RNAcentral's name for it is "partial 16S ribosomal RNA". It matches the Rfam family "Bacterial small subunit ribosomal RNA", at positions 28 to 526 of the family's 1533-position model. The record is from RNAcentral.
GACGAACGCUGGCGGCGUGCCUAAUACAUGCAAGUCGAACGCAGUGGGGACGGGUGAGUAACACGUGGGUCACCUCCCCAUCAGAGGGGAUAACCCUUGGAAACAGGUGCUAAACCGAUACUGAAUGAUGGACCCGCGGUGCAUUAGCUAGUGGGUGAGGUAACGGCUCACCAAGGCGACGAUGCAUAGCCGAACUGAGAGAGUGACCGGCCACACUGGAACUGAGACACGGCCCAGACUCCUACGGGAGGCAGCAGUGGGGAAUCUUCGGCAAUGGACGAAAGUCUGACCGAGCAAUGCCGCGUGGGUGAAGAAGGUUUUCGGAUCGUAAAACUCUGUUAGCAGAGAAGCGGUAUCUAACCAGAAAGCCACGGCUAACUACGUGCCAGCAGCCGCGGUAAUUC